Molecule: long non-coding RNA, 11956 nt
Filed under: Gallus gallus (chicken)
Lineage: Eukaryota; Metazoa; Chordata; Aves; Galliformes; Phasianidae
Description: lncRNA (ENSGALG00010013865.1)
Source: RNAcentral
GGAAUUGUUCUUGUGGCAGAAAACACUUUCUGGAAUCUCUCAGAGCUCCUCCAUCUGCAUGGACAAUUUAUCAGUUCGUAUGCUGCUUGUGUUUGUCAACCACUCUUAAAGCUCUGCAGUUUGCAUUCUUGUAAUAGUUUUAGCUUCAAGUGCCUACAGCCUGGAACAUUUGGCUAUGUCAGUAUUUGUAAUCUCAACAUGUCUGGGAAUAUCCUCCUGCACUGAGACCAAAUGACCCAGAAUAGCCCAUGUCCAACUGCCGGACUUGUUCGAUCUCCAAUAAAGGAUGCCUGCUUCCAAACUGCCUGCAGAGAAUAUUCACUAUUUGCAAUGAAUGUUGUGAAACUCCAGCAACUACAGCUUCACUGUUUGCAUGGGCCAGCCAGCAUGAAUUUCACUGAGGCCAUUGAAGUGUUCUUAAGACAAAAGUCAGAAAUGGAGAUGCUUGGCAGAGAGUGAAACAAAGUACUGCCUCUGUCCUGCUUUUGGUAACUGUUGGUGGCUUUCAAGUCCAAAUAUCUGUAGAGUUAUCUGUUGUUAGCUCAAAGAAAUAAAGAAAAAUGGAAAGUGAACUUUGAUAAACAUGUCUCUUUACCCUUGGAAUCAACAAAAAUGAGAGCUUGAAGAUCACCACGUAGUGCUAGCAGUCUGUGUUGGAUCACACAAACUGGCGAGUCUCACCUUCUUCUUCUAUGAUGUUCCUUCCUAAUCCUGCCCUGCAAUUCAUUUUGCAUUGCCUGUCGAGUUGCAAUGGAAUUCCCAUGAUGUUUUCACUGACUGCCUGGGCAGCAUCCAUCAGAGAAAUGGAGCAAGGAUAUGUUUCUACAGAAUAAAGCGGUCUGAAAUGUCCUGCUGUCACAGCACAAAAUCAAGAGCACCUCUUCAUCUUCCCUCGGGCCAACAAAAGGGGACAGGAUUUUCAGUGAAACCCAGAUGUUGCUGUGAGUAAAUGUGUGCAUUUAUUAACAGAUAAUAGUGGAGGACUGCAAUUUAUAUCUGCAGAAGCUGAAAUAAUUAAGGAGGGUUGGGUAUUAAUGGAUGUAUGUUUUGAACAAUCUCAAAAACUUCUUUGUGUGGAAAAUUAAGAUCCUUGCUGAUAUUGAAAUAUCUCAGAUUGUUGUAAACCCAUGUUUCUAAUAUUUUAACUGGGAAUCACUUUCAUGGUCCGGCACUGCUGAUGCUGCCCCUUCAGAAGCCAGAAAAUGUCAGAUAUCUCAGUAUUUUCAGGAUUGUUUUGUUCCCAUUCAGGCUGACAGACAAAAAGGAGGGUUCUGAGGGAAGCUCUUAUUUCCUCCCUUCCCAUCUCCCUUUGCUCUUGCAAUAGCACCAUUGUACAGCACCGUUAUGCCAAAUUUUUUACAUAGAGACAGACUCGCCUGUCCCACAUUGUCAUUUCGACACUGUUUUUAACAAAGAUGUAUUUUCUGAGGAUCAUGUUUGAGAAUAAAUGGCUUUGGGUCUAGCACUAGUAAAAGAAGAAAAGCAAAUCCAAAGAACCCACUCAUUGAGUUCAGAGUAGCUACAGGGCAAUGCUGCAUCUUGCUUUUUAGGUGAAAUCUGCAAUUUUGUUUAUCCAGAGCAAUCUGUAACAGCUCUAUGGUAAAGCUGCUUUGAGGUUUAGUUUUGAAGUUUACUGCUCCCAGUUUUCAUUUAUUCCAUCAUAAUACAUGCAUAAAACAUUUUUAUUAUGUGGAUAGUAAUUUGCAUGAGCACGAGGACUUUAGCUCAAAUGCUCAUGAACAAGACUGUUCUUCAGUCGGGUCAACUGGAAGUUAUUCUGCUUUACUACAGGGCUUUCAGUUAAUUAAAUUCAAAGAACCUGUUCAACUGCUAAGGCCUGUUAUACUCCAGAUAAGGAAAAAAAUACAUUUUUUCAUCAGUCUCUGGGGACAGACACUGCUGAUGCUCCUCCUGCUGUAGCCACAAUACAGUGGGCCACAAUACAAGUGAAAAGGAGGAAGAAUGUCCUGCCCAAAGUAUUUCAGUGGGACAUACACGUCUGUGAUGAACACAGAAAGGACUAUUCAGAUGCAUUGUGUUAUAUGGAAUGAACUACAUUUCUGAUCUUCUAAUGCAAUUAAUAUUGUGCUCUGCAAGUAAUGUAAUUAACACAGGAAAAGAGGAGUGAACUGCAUUUACAGUAGAAGUGAACUUUACCUAAAAUUAUCAUUUCAGAAAAUUGACUGUUCUUCUAACUGUUGGUAAUUAUUUUUUCCUUUUUUUUCUUGAGUUCCUCUUUAUUUGGAUAGGUAAUAAAAUUAGUUUUGAUCCUGCACACUGAAGGAGAAACCCUAGUGGCCACAUUCUGACUCUACUUGAACUAGUGUAGGAGCUCAUACGGAAAAUUAAGUGAAAAUCAAUUAACAGUUGCCCCGGGCAUUUGAAACAAAUGCCAGGAAUCCCUAAAUGUUUCUCAGUUCUGUAUAAAUCAUAGCUGACAAGUGGUGGUAUCUCUGCUUCCACUGAAAAUUUGCUUUGUUACAGUGAAAAUUCUUUUAUUAUAUAUAGUUGCUGAUGUACAUAUAUAUAUGUAUUAACCGUCUACAUUUUCUCAUGUGCAUCUUCCAUAAAUCUCCUUUUGAGUCUCUUCCAAAGAAACUAACCUAUGCUUUUGAAGAAAAGAUGACUACCUGGUUGAAGAAAAGGAGUAAUGGAGAACACAUUCUUCAAGAUAUUGGAUAGUAUUCACUGCACCAUCAGGAGAUAUCUUUGUUUGGUACAAAGUGCUAAAGCCUUAAAAGACUAAAGCCGAACAAUAAUGAAUAGAACUGAUUUCCCAUCUUUGGAUUCUAGAGUGCUGACAUGGGAGUUUGAAGACGGUGGAAGGAAUCUAUGGACUGUAUUUACUGAUGUAAUUCAAUAAUUAAAGAUAAUUGUACAAUUUCUCUUAAGCUUGUUGAAAUUCAAGUUUUCUUUUGCUUUAGGCACGACCCAAAAAAUGUAAUAAUAUUUACCAUACUACCUAAUUUAUGUAUGUCUUUAAAUAGUUUACAAAGUGAAUUGAUAAUACAAAAAGUACCCAAAAUCAGAGAGAGAAUUUGUACAGAUUUAUACAAAUCCACGAACUUGAAAAGCCUGCCUUUGUCUCAGAACUUCUAUCUUUGUUUCAAAGAGAGAAACUGGUACAUUACGUAGAUAGGAGAAAAGGAACUGAAGGGUAUAGAUAAAGGAGAAAUGAGCUUAAAGCCUAAGGAAGAGGAAAAAAAUAUAUAAUACAAUCGGAGUGAUCAGAGAUAAAGAACAAGAAAAAAUCAUCAAGAGAUUUUUCUUGAAAGAGGAGGUAGAAUGGAGAUGUAUUUUGUAGGCUACUCUGUUGGAUUAAAGAAGGCCUGAAAUGAAAAGGUAUGUGCAACAAAGGCGUGAGGCAGAUGGAAGGCUUCUCUUCUUAUUUCCUAAGGCUGAGGGCUUCCAGUCCUUUUUGCAUUUGGCUAAUUGCAAAGUCUGCAAUCUCAAAGGGUCACAAUCAUUUUCAGCUUUUGCUGGUGAGAGACACAAAGCAGACAACACUGCACGUUGCUCCUGCUAUAAUAAGAUGUCAUUUCAUCAGGAGGAGUAGACAAAAGGAUAGAUUUUCCUCUUUCCUCUUUUCCUCUGUUUUGCUUUGGGAUAUAACAUUCAGUUUCUCUCUCCAGUUUCCUACAACAUCACAAGGCCAGUUUUUGCUUUGAACUUCAGUAAUAUCAAGUACCUUCCAUGUAAAUGGUGCUUGAGAUAUAAGCGUAUUGCAUGGCCUCUGAGAAACCAAGACCACAUGGAAACUGUUCCCCCCCAAUUUCUGCCAAUAACAUCAGAUUUUGCAUUGCUUCCCCAACAAGAACUGCCCUGUAUCAGAGGCUAGCUUUGUGCAGGGGCUGAUGGUUCUGUAUAGUUUGUGUUUGUGAGCCAUCAAAGGCUUUGAGUGGGAGAGAGGAAACGAUGAAGGAAACCUGGAAUCUGUGCCCAUACUGUUGCAACCUUUCUGAGUUUACUUUAAGAAUCUUUAUCCAGCUCUUCAUCUUUUCACUUUGAUCACUGUAACAUCUCUUCACCUUGGUUUCUAGCUUUUUCCUUUCCCCACACCAUCAAUCUGCACAGAUGCUGCUUUUUCCAGUCAGAGCCUCUUUUGGCAUUUUUGCACUUUACCUCCAUCUUAUUUCUGAACUUCUGUUUCUCUUGUUGUCCCUCGGUGACUGUGUUUUUGCAUGCUGUAGAGAUACUCAAUGCUUUUUUUUUCUGUGCCAUGUCCUCAUUCUAUUCUAUGACCUCUUUUGUGCUGCCUGUACUCCAGGAGUGCUGAGACAAACAGGCUGGGACAGAACACAUCUCUGUGCUCUUCCUGGGAGCACAUUUUAUUCCAGAAAAUUUGUUCUGCUGGUCUCACCUAUAUUUCUUCAAUUGUUUAAUAUUAAGCACUUAUCCAGCAGCGUGAAUUACAAUUAUCAUGAAUUAUACAACAUGGCAGUUUCUGCCCUGCUUUGCUCUCAUUUACAUAACUGCUAGACUGUAAUCACAUUUUGUCUUCCAGACAGAAAUCUUCCAGACUUCUCCCAGGUUUAAUUGGAGGUGCUUUGUAAACCUUUGAUGGUUAAGGACACCAGAUUUUGGAGUGAAAUGCUGGUAAGCUUGAAAGCACAAAAGAAACAGCUUGUGGAAAAUCUGUGAAGUCCAUCUAUUUCUACAAUAGGAUUAUUCAUCACCACAUGUUUUCCCCAUCUGGAAGUAAAGGGACAAAAUGCUGAAACCACCACCGUCUCACUUGCAAAUUGCUCCACAGUCUAACCAGUCAUGCUAUUGAGAAGAUAUGCCUGCAGUUCAACCCAAAUUCUCUGUUGCUGUGUUUUGCACAUGUUCAACAAACUCAGCUUCCUUCUUGCGGUGAGGAGUACUCAAGAUGUGGUCUUAUCAGUGUCAAGCAUUGAGGGACAAGCAGAACAAUUCAAAGGCUAUGACUAUCCUUGAGACCUUGUAGCACCUGCACCUACAGAAACUGUCCACAGAGGCCUUACCGGACCAUGUUUUAUUGUCAUUGUUUCUGGGCAAAGGUUUUAUAAUGCAGCAGUGGAGUCCAUCUUGCUGAAGCAAUGGAGACAGAUAGUGAUGGAGCUGCCAGAACAACCUGUAAAUUAUCUGCCCUAAAAUCCUCAAAGAGCACUUUGUGCUGAAAAGAAGGCUGUUCAAGGCAGGAGGGGAAGAAUUUGAUCUUGCCUACAUUUGUUGUACAGGAACAGAAAGGAGGAGUGCUUUAUUCAUCAAGUGAACACAGCACUUUAAAAAUUCAACUAAGUCAAUAUAGGAAUACGUUUAAAAUGUAUUCACCUUCAGAGAGAGAUUUCCUGGACUGACAGAACUGCCAAUGGGUAUGAGUUAUUGCUUAGCAAAAGUUGCUGCAAAGGAUGCUGUACCCAUCACCUCUGUGAAGGGGUCUUAUGUGGAACAAGCUGCUAAGAAAGUUAUGGCCAACAGAAGUUCUGCCUUUGACUGGUGCUUUGGUAACUACCUGUGGGGAUAGUCUGCUGUUAUUCUAUUUUUCUUCCUUCUUUGUCAGAGAAAAUGGCAGUCUGGUGACAGUGUUCUUGAGAAUAGCAACUUCAUUCUACCAGGUUCUGCUGGUAGAGUAGAAGUGGAAAGUCCUGCCUGAGAAUGUGCAUUGUAGAAUCACUGCUCCCAAAGCUGGCAGCUCUGCCAAAACCCAGAACAUGAGUGCUUUGGGGAUGCCCUGGUAGAAACUUAGGUCAGUGCUGGCCUUGGGCCAUCCAGAGUAAGAUGUGAACUGCCUGGACUACGGCAUUACUGGGCAGAAAGAGUGUCUGAUCCCUUCAUGAUUUCAACUUCAGAUUUGCACACCUUAUAUUUACCUCUGAGUACUUUGUAGCACAGUUUGAUAUUUAUGCUUUGACUUUAAUUCAGAAAGAAUCUGGAGAGGAAUAAGAGAGAGGCUAAAAAUGUGCAAGACAAAAAAUACAUGUGUGAUUUCUGAAAUCUGACAGUGUUUAGGAGGGGAAAUAGAAGCUACACUGUUGAUUAUUUUACUUUAUUCUCCCAAUUGAAUGUGAUUUUUUUUGUUUUGUUAUUUUUUAUUUUUCUUUCUAUGCUAUGUAUGGAUGAUACCAGGCCAGUUCCUACCCAAAGGCUUGCUUAAGUGCUUUCAAUCUUACUUGCUUACCUUGCAUCUACAGUAACAAGGAUUCAGUUGUGAGUAAGCCUCAGCAUGUUACUUUAGUUCAAAUGAUUUCUAACUGGAAUAUCAGUGAAUCUUUACCUUCAGGUCAUCCGUGCUCUUUUGUAAGAAUGAAUUUCAGUAGCUUAAAAAUGCUCAGAGUUUGUGAAUGACAAUGAUAACUCACUGCUAUGAAACUUCCUGUAAGUGUGCACCCAUCUCCCUAAAUAAGUAGAAAUGGGUUUCAAAUAACAGGCUCUUCUGUUUAUAAGAGUGGUAAUUAGAAGUGCAUUAAGGAAACCCUCAUUUCAGAAGCAGGCGUAUUAUAUCUAUGAAGUUUCCUGCUUUUUUCCUUUUCUAUAUAUGUUUGAGGCUCCUGAUUGUCUAAUGAGAUUAGGGUAAAUUUGAAAUUAAUUGUAUCUUGUAUAUGUUUUUGAAAUAACAGGCAUAAAGCUACAUUAACUUGUUUCCAUUUGUGAAAGCAGCCUGUUUUCCUUGGUACGUAAGUAACUUCAUGGUUACUAAAGUCUUACUUAUACCCUUUGAAUUGUAUGAGCAAACCUUUCUCUAUUUUAUGUGUUCAUGAAGAUAUUGAAGAAAUAUCAGCAGCUUUGUAUGCAAGUAGAUGAGUGAAGUUGGCAUUUAAACUCUUGAAAAUUACAUAACAGCUACUAGUGUUAAGAAAUUAUAGAUAUGAUGAAGGAAGAGCUGUGAAUUUACAUUUAGAAAUUAACCCAGCUGGGUUUUGUGUGUGAGUGAAAGGUGAAGGAGAGAUAUUUUUAAAAGCUAUUAUUGUGCAUCAGCAAGGUGUGUGUCAUUAACUAAUUAUUUUGAGAAUGCCUUACUAAGACAGUGGUGGUAAUUAGUCUUUAGAUUUGUAGAAGGAAUGUGAUAUUCCUUUUAAUUGGGAAAGUUUUCCUGCCUCUGGGCACGCGCCCUGAAGUGGAGAGGGGGGGAGAGUAGAGGAGAAGGGAAAGUAGGAGGGGAGUGGAGGGAAGAGGUGAGGAAGGAAGGAGACUCAGUGGACUUUAAGAAUUGUCCAUCCUUUUCCAAAAUAGUCAGCAGUGCUACUGAAAAGCCUUCCUUCUGAAUGAUAUUAUCCUAUCCUAACAUUACUUUGAAGUUUUCUACCCCUAGAUGAAUUCUACAUUCAUUAAUGUCAGCAAGCCUUUUUUUUUUUCUGGACUAUUGAGGCCAUCUUUCCUGCAAAUGACCUUAACAGCUGCAAAGAGAAAAGAUAUGAUAACAUUACAUUAAAACACACACUAUGGUAGUUCUCUGAAAAUUUGGAGAUUUUGUUAGGUUUCUGGCUGAGUUUAUGAAUUUACUGUAUGCAAAGCUGCAAUGGAUUUUUCAGUUCCCUCCACUAGUUCCCCCAAGCCUCAGGUUAUGAGAGAAGAGCCAAAAAUGCAGGGCAAUGUUAAUUAUAGGAUAGCCAGAGGCAUUAUGUUCCCUCUUCCAAGCUGUUCUCAACAGUGACUUAUUGCCUCACUUCAGAGAACAAAUUAAGAUGCUCUGCAAUGAUGGAUCCCAAAAACUUGUUUGUCCUGAGAACCAAGGAAGAGAAAAAGGUGUGGCAAUCAGUGAAUGCACCAGAACACGUGAAGCUAGGGGGAUGUGAAAAUAUAAUGCUGAAAUACCCAGUCUAUCUUUCCUUCUCUGCCCUAACCUACAGGAGAAAUAAAAUCAGUUAUAUGUUUUGACUUUCUGUGAAAUAGAGGGAGCAUUAGACCUUCUGCAUUCAAGGGGGGAACCAUGGACAUAAGAAUAGCUGUUUAUCUUCAUUUGUGGUCUUGGAGAUGAAUAAGGAAUGAGUGACGAUGUGUAUUCACUACUGAGUACAUAACACAACUGUUCGAGAGAAGAUGCAGGUUUCCAAAAUCUACCAGCUGCCAUGCACUGGGCUAGUUUGGCAACGUCCAUCUUACCACUCGUGAAAGUAGGCCUUCGCAUAUUUGUGUAAUUCAGCAAAGGAUGUGGUCAAAUUAUUGCCUUUGUCUCUUUUUAUUCUGAAUUACCUCAAGAACUAAGGUCAAAUAAGGAAAAACUAUCCCACAGCAAAAGAGAGAAGAAGCAAAGACAUGCUGGUUAGCUUCUCACUGUCUGCUAAACUGCAUGAAGUCUACUUGAAAUCUCUGAUCUACACUAACAUACCAACUUAAAAAAAAUCCACAAAUGCUAUACCCUGCAACUAGAUAAGUAGGCAGCUGGGUUAAACUUGUAGAUAGUGAGUCAGGCUCCUCAGAUUCUGGGGAAGACUGAAGAUGAGAGGAAGCAGAGUAACUGCUGGCCCUUUGGUAUGGAACACAGGCAAAGUCAGGGGACAACAAUGGCAAAAGUUCCCUGGUCUAUGGGGUAUUUGGGACGUGAAUCCCCUUCCUGAGGGUGAAAGUGGUGCCUGAAAGAGUCAUGUACAGAGGUCAGUGCGUUAGGCUGGUGAGUGUCCAGGAGGAAACACUCCUGGAGGACAGCAAUACAAUAAGUUUAAGAAAAAAAAAAGGCCAGAACAUAAAUUCUUGCCACCCUUUAAAAUUUAACAAUAUUAAGCAUAAUCAUUUGGCAGUUCACUUAAUCUCAGUGGCAAAAAUAACUGGUUAUACGUUAUUAUUGAAGAUUAAAAUCUUAAAUCUUCCAUCAAGGCGGGGAGGGAGCAGGAGGUGCUAGAUAUGACUUUUGUCAUAUCAGGACCCUAAUGAAUUCUGCAAAAAAAGAAUUCUUAUGAAAUAUCCUUUCCAUUCAGCUAUUAUCUUUGGCUGUAGCAAUUACUCAUUUGCUCUAAACUGAAAUCCAACAACAUGAAGCACAGCUAUUCUCUUUCAAACUAAAAUCAGUAUUGGCAGGAUGACUGAAACUAUUUGCUUCCAUUAAAGGCAAAAUAUGUCCUAAGUGGUCACAAGUGUGCCAUAUUCCUCAGCUGUCAGUGCCUAAUUUGAAAUAUUUAAUUUAAAACAUUUUUAAAGCAGGCUGGUUGUCUCUGUUGCUCUGAGCUUACAUCUCCUACAUUCUAUUUCCAAUACCUGCCCCCAGAUCCAUUGGCUGCUUCUGAUGUGCUAAUGCAUUUAGAAAUGUGACUUUCCUCAUCUAUGCUAGACAAAAAGUCUAAUGCAAGAUCAUGUUGGUGAGUUCAUUCUAGAACACCAUCUUCUCUGGCCUUUUGUUAUGGGAGAAGCAACAGGAAGGAAACUGAGCUCCAACUACUGCUCCAGUAUGGUCAGCAAGAUGCACAGGAGGGAAAUUCUGUACCCAGCUUGUGGAAGGUAUGGCAUGCCUCUUUCAGAUCCUCCUCAGAAGGGCAUCUACAUCACAGUAGUGCGGCCAAAGAUGUGGUGGAGAAGCCAUGAGAGAGGAGUCCCAGAGAGAACCUCAUAAUCCAUAGAAUCAUAGAAUCAUUAACAUUGGAAAAGACCUCUACAGUAAUCUAGUCCAACCACCAAUCUGUCCCCACCAUGCCCACUAACCACCUCCCUAAGUGCCACAUCUACACCUUUUAUUAACACCUCCAGGGACUCCACCACUUCCCCAGGCAGCCUGUUCCAAUGCAUUAACACUCUUUUGGAGAAUAAUUUUUUCCUAAUAUUGAACCUGAACUUCCCCUGGCACAACUUAAAGCCAUUACUUCUUGUCCUAUCACUAACUACAUGGGAGAAGAGGCCAACCCCCAUCUUGCCACAGACUCCUUUCAGGCAGUUGUAGAGGGCAAUAAGGUCUCCCCUGAGCCUCCUCUUCUCCAGACCAAACAAUUCCAUUUCCCUCAGCUCACCCCAAGACCUGUGCUUCAGAUCCUGGAUUAAUCUUCUGUGCACUUGAAUAAAAAUGUAGUUUCUACUGAAAGACAAAACUUUUCAUGCAAAGAGAGGACAAUUCUGUUUAAAAACAACAGUAAGUACAUCAGAGACAUUGUAUUCAUCCUACAUUCUGAAAAAAAAAAUGCCAAUAAUAAAGCUCUAUCUAGAGAACUGUGGAAGGAAAAAAUUUUUUGAUAUCUUUUUUUUCUAAACAAUUAAAGCUGAAGCAUUCAGCAUUUUGGAUCCAGUGUAAAUCCUCACAUUCCUGGGCAAUAUAUAUACAUAUUUUCUGUCAGCAAAUCCUUAGUUUCCACAUUAGUUAAUGUUCCACCUGCUGUAUAAACCCAGAGAAGCUGUCUCUUGCAACUGUAGUGUUCCCUUCUGGCAGUCCUUUUUUCUUCCUUUUUCUUCUGUCAAAUAUGCAGAAAAUACCUUUGAAAAUGUACACAGUGUUCACAAUAAAUGGAAAUAACACAGAUGCACGCGUGUACAUUUAUGGAAGUGUAAUAAUUCUGAGAACAGUACAGAGAGCUCAGUUAACAGACUACAGUAAACGAUGCCAGGUUACCUAAACCUCAUAGUCCCAAAAGGAAGGAUUUUAGACAGCUUGCUGAUGUUCACAGUGUCAUGACGUAUGUCAGCACCAAGCCCACGUAACGGGUUUAAAUGAUCUAUUGACCUCCAACGGAUAUUAUGAACAUGGGUAUCAUCCUUCAUUGUUAAUAAAAAGGGAACCAACUGAGACAUUUUGAUUCUUGUUUGUCCUGCUUCACCGUUAUUCAGACCCUUCCAUAUUGGAAAAGCAUGAAGAGACAGCAAGCAGUUUCAAUUCAGUGUUUCUGAACUGGGGAUCCAUUGUGAUAGGAAAGAUUUCAAGUUAAAGUGAGAUGAAAGAUGUGGCCCAAAUGAGCAAAAGUGGUUGGUGGCAGGAAAUUCGCUGAUGCUAAUUUAUACUGCUUAGAAUAUUUUCUCCAAACUGCUAGGUGGGAGGGUAGCUAGUUGAUCCCUCCAGAAAGCCCAGGAAAAGCCCAUGCUGUUUCCAUAGCCUCUCUGUGAAGCCUGCUCCAGAGUUCUGCCAACCUCAAAGUAAAGAUUUUUCUCAUGUUCUUAUGGAACUUUCUAUGCUCCAGUCUGUGCCUGUUGCCCUUUGUCCUGUCACUGGGUACCACUGAAAAGAGCCUGGCUCUUUAACUCCCGCCCUUUAGAUAUUUAUAAGAGUUCUAAGAUUUCCUCUCACUCUUCUCCAGGCUGAACAACCUCUGGUCUUUUAGUCUUUCCUUAUAAAGGAGAUUCUCCAUGCCCGUAGCCACCUUUUAGGCUUUCCUCUGGACUUUUUCCAGUAGUUCCUCAUCUUUCUUGAACUGAGGAGCCCAGAACUGGACACAGUACUCCAAGUGAGGCCUCACCAGGGCAGAGCAGAGGGGGAGGAUCACCUCCCUAGAUCUGCUGGCUAUGCUCUUUCUAAUGCACCCCAAGAUACUGUUGGUCUUGUUGGCCAUAAGGGCACACUGCUGGCUCAUGACCAUCCUGCUGUCCACCAGAACACCCAGGUCCUUCUCCACAGAGCUCCUCUCCAGCAAGUCAGCCCCUAACCUGUACUGAUGCAUAUGGUUCUUCUUUCACAGGUGGAGGACUCUGCCCUUGCCCUUGUUGAACUUCAUCAGGUUUCUCUCCUCCCAGCUCUCCAGUCUGUCCAGAUCUUGCAGAAGGGCAGAGCAUCCUUCUGGUGUGUCAGCCAUUCCUCCCAGCUUUGUAUCAGUUUCACACUGAUAAAAGGGUCAAUGUACACUGGCUAUUCUUAGCCACUUUUUUCAUAAUUUGCAUUUAAAAAGCUAUCACAUGUCUUUUAAUUCCCUUGUUAUACACCUGUAAAUUCUCACUGUAUGUUUUGCUGAUAUUUAUCACCAAUGAAAGUUCAUUCACCACAGAUCCCUCAUUUAGGAAAGGAAUAUAUGGGGGUAUUGUCUGAGCUCUAUCUUUCUUAAUGCCACAGUACAUGAAGAAAAUGAAGCAAAAUAAAAUAAAAUAAAAUAAA